Molecule: long non-coding RNA, 773 nt
Filed under: Salmo salar (Atlantic salmon)
Lineage: Eukaryota; Metazoa; Chordata; Actinopteri; Salmoniformes; Salmonidae
Description: lncRNA (ENSSSAG00000071293.2)
Source: RNAcentral
CGUGACGUCAUCGUUUUUAUAUUUUUCUUCUGGGAUGAAUAGCUAUUGCCCGGUUGAAAAAAUUAUCGCAAUUUUACGUAAAAAAAUACCCUAAAGGAUUGAUUGUAAACAUCGUUUGACGUGUUUCUACAAACGGUAAUGGAACUUUGAACAUUUCGUCUAUGGAUUUGCGUCCACGCCACAUGGCAUUGUAAAGUGUUCUGGAUGGGUCAACAAAACGAACGUAUUUGGACUUUGCAGAACAAAUGAACAUUUCGUGUGGAAGUGGGUGCCCAUCCGAGUGCAUUCUGCCGAAGAUCAGCAAAGGAGAAAAAAGGCUGUUGCUUGUAGGGAGCGUUUCAAGAUUGGUAAGACCAGAGACAGAUGAGCUGGGGGACUUGUUAACCGGGAUCAUUGAUAGCCAGCAACCUCUGAAAGGUAUCCCCGAUGAUGACCAUUUGGACAGUACAGAUGGGGGACCGUUCCAAUCCUAAUUUGAGGCAGAUGAUCACCAUAACUUGGAGGGGGCUUAACAGGAUGAAGGUCAACCUGCUACAACUGCAGCAACCAGGAGGGAAGAUUGUGUCACUAACCUGGGCCAGAGGACAAAGACAAAGAGGCUGAGCAUGCAUGAGAAACUUCCCAUGGAAUUUCAUGAGCGCAAACUAAUGUAUUUAAACGUGAAGGAAGAGGAGAGAAACAUGAAGCAGCAGCAGUGCCAAUGUUCUUCUCAAACCAGCACCAGUUCGGGGUCCCAAUAUUUCUAUUUGUAAAUUAAAAAUCUUAUCCAUGGC